This 70-nucleotide transfer RNA is filed under the name Marmota marmota marmota (Alpine marmot). It matches the Rfam family "tRNA". Rfam says of the family: Transfer RNA (tRNA) molecules are approximately 80 nucleotides in length. Lineage: Eukaryota; Metazoa; Chordata; Mammalia; Rodentia; Sciuridae. RNAcentral also lists the same sequence under 3 other names. The record is from Rfam by way of RNAcentral.
GGGGAUGUAGCUCAAUGGUAGAGCACUUGCCUGGCAUGCAUGAGACUCUGGGUUGGAUCCAUCUUCCCUA